CCCUUAGAUGUUCUGGGCCGCACGCGCGCUACACUGACGAAUGCAACGAGCUUAUAACCUUGGCCGAAAGGUCUGGGUAAUCUCCAAAUUUCGUCGUGAUGGGGAUAGAUUAUUGCAAUUAUUAAUCUUCAGCGAGGAAUGCCUAGUAAGCGCAAGUCAUCAGCUUGCGUUGAUUACGUCCCUGCCCUUUGUACACACCGCCCGUCGCUCCUACCGAUUGAAUGGUCCGGUGAAGCGUUCGGACCGUGGCCUUUGGACGGUUCGCCGUCUGUUGGCUGCGGGAAGUUCGUUAAACCUUAUCAUUUAGAGGAAGGAGAANUCGUAACA
This 327-nucleotide ribosomal RNA is filed under the name uncultured eukaryote. Its description in RNAcentral is "partial 18S ribosomal RNA". It matches the Rfam family "Eukaryotic small subunit ribosomal RNA", at positions 1470 to 1796 of the family's 1831-position model. The record is from RNAcentral.